UCAGUAGGCGGGUGGGGUGGGGUGGGGUGGCGGCGGCGUAAGCGUCCGCAGGCGGGGGGCGCAGGCGGCGUCUCAGCGGUUAGGGGAGGGCUCUCGGGGGCGGGGCAGCCGAGGGCGGCCGCGGCCACCCACCCCUAAGGCCAGGGCACAAAUAACGAGACUAAGCCCGGGCCUAAGAGGGGCCUAACGCAAAGGAAACUACCCCGGCGGCGGCGGCGACGAGGCCGAGCCCCAGACUAAGACUAAGACUAAGCCCGCCUUCCAUCUCUAACAGCAGAAAAAUAACUCGCGGGGGACGGGACCAAAGAGACGGCGAUAACCUAACUAAACCCUAGGCGCUAGCUCUAACGAGGCACUUCAAAAACCAGGAUCCCUAUAAAAAACUGACCGGGCCUAGUCCUUAUCUCCCAAGAGAACGACCCCCCUCCCUCUAGAUCCCAACGCAGAAGAUAUCAAGAGAAACACGUACACGUAUGAGGUAUCUUUUUUUGUGGUUUUUUUUCUCCCCCACUCCUCCUCCUCAACCUCCUCGUCCUCCUCCUCCUAACCUCGCGUCCCCUUAAACCUCCAAUAAUACCGCGACUUAAUAGGCAGCACGAGUAAGAACCACUCGCUGCUCACGAGACGGGACUACUCCCCCACACCUACGACCAGCCUCCUCCGGAGUGGGGAGAGCAGGGGUCCCCAGUUGAGGUCCGCGACCCUACUAAAGCUCGGGCUGGGACGCCUAGAUAACGGACGCCUAGGGAAGCCCUACUUGAACCCCUUGUGGUAGUGACGUCGGUAGCGGUCAACGGAGCUGGAGUGCCAGUACAGACCACGUCCCGCAAAACCUUCGUCACUGCCACCGUGCCGGCUGAACUCAAAAAUGGACUUAGUACGAUAACGGCAGAGGGCCCCCGGUAGUAGAAUGGAGGGCCCACCGAAGCCCGCACGAAAACUCCCCGGGAAACACAAACCUCCGGAAAUACUCCGGCCUCCGCGGUUGACGACAGUUCCCAACGGAGGGGAACACAGGACGAGUGCGAGUUAACAUGGACCUCUCCUAGGUAGAUGAAGACCGUCACGACGUAACAACACGGCACUACCUCAACUACGGUACCCUCGCAGGACGAGUGCGGGUUAACAUGGACCUCUCCUAGGUAGAUGAAGACCGUCACGACGUAACAACACGACACUUCCUCAACUACGGCACCCUCGCAGGACGAGUGCCGGUUAACAUGGACCUCUCCUAGGUAGAUGAAGAACGUCACGACGUAACCACACGGCACUACCUCAACUACGGCAUCCCCGCAGUACGAGUGCCGGUUAACAUGGGCAUCUCCUAGGUAGAGGAAGACCGUCACGACGUAACCACACGACACUACCUCAACUACGACACCCUUCACGUGGUGUACUGCCCUACUACAUGCGAGAACGGAUAGAACCCGAAGCACUGUAGGAUCGAUGUCUCUACCACACGUUCAGAAACGUAAGCACCUAGGCGUCGCUCAAUAGCACCUUCACAUAGGUGUAACUUGGCCAUAACUCGCCCUUCUAGAGACUAGGACUAGAAGAUAAAGACUGUGUCUUCUAAGGUCCACUAAACGUCACAGAUUUAUAUUUACUGACGUAUUUAUAGUGGCUGUUACCAAACUUACGACAAGAGGUUUCGUUAGGCUGCAAUUGUUUCAACUCAUAACGUGCGACGGGCGCCAAUUGAAACCUACCGGAAUAACGGUUAGAUUUCAGUAAAUUAUACUUUCGUCACAGCCCAUAAUUCUCGGAGUCUUAACUGUUUUUGAAGUUAAAUGGUUUUCUCCUAAUACUCCUCAAUAAUAGGAACAACUCGUAGCUGUUCUCUGUCCUCAACGUGUUGGCCCGAGGCGCUAAGGCAGUAAGAUUAGUAAAAAAUAAUCUAACGUUACUGCCUAUACGAGAACUAUAACUCUACACGGGGUAGACAGUUUCAAUGUUUGAACAAAAACUGACGGGACUUCACCUCACGUCACUGUUCUCUAGACCGUUUACGGCUCGUACACUCCAAACGUAGUUCUCUACGGCCGUCACACCUUCCACGAAUCUUGCUUUACUCUUCAAACUUCUCUUUAAACUAGACCAGAUGGAAACGAUGUUCACAGCUCCGCUAGGCCGAAGUGGUAGAGAGCCACACCUUUUCCUAGACCAGAGGUAAAAUAGGUCACCUUCUUAUGGAAGAGGAACUGGUACCUCCUCGUUGUCAGGUACAGGUCGGUAAGUCGGUAGAAAGAAUCGUAAUGACUACUUCCUUUUUUUUUCUUUUUUUUAUAUAUCAAACGAUAAGUACUUCCACACACCAGCAAACUGUCUACCAUGUAAACGAACGUUCUUUUUGUUUUUUUCUACAAUGAUUAAGGUCGUCUUUAUUUCCCUACUAAGGGUGAUAAUGUCGGAGUGGUCGCUGUUGCUCCCUACAAAGAAGUACCUCAAACGUCAAGUUCUCACAUAUCCAUCUCCCACACCAACCACAGCCACACAACGAACUACGACGUAGAAGGACACUUCUUCUGACUUCUACUUGAAUAAGGAACCGAAGGUUCAUAUAAUAUAGACAUAUACGCACUGUAACAUUAUCAAACAGGACCUAUGCAGAACAACAUACUGAACCAUUGAACAAAGUAUCUUUAUUUAUUUAGUUACUGAAGAUUGAUAUGAUAGUG
Molecule: ribosomal RNA, 2678 nt
Filed under: Triticum aestivum (bread wheat)
Lineage: Eukaryota; Viridiplantae; Streptophyta; Magnoliopsida; Poales; Poaceae
Description: partial small subunit ribosomal RNA
Source: RNAcentral